UACCCAGGUGUUCUCGUUAAACUGGAACCACGCCUAUCCCAUCUCGAACUGGGCUGUGAAAUAGUUUAGGAGUUCUUUUGUACUCGUCGAAAGUUUGGCCGGGAAGAAGAACUUAAUGCCUGGGUU
Molecule: ribosomal RNA, 126 nt
Filed under: Chlamydomonas applanata
Lineage: Eukaryota; Viridiplantae; Chlorophyta; Chlorophyceae; Chlamydomonadales; Chlamydomonadaceae
Source: RNAcentral